RNAcentral lists this unclassified non-coding RNA (268 nucleotides) under Hevea brasiliensis (rubber tree). The record is from RNAcentral. Lineage: Eukaryota; Viridiplantae; Streptophyta; Magnoliopsida; Malpighiales; Euphorbiaceae.
GAGGUGUUGAGCCCGGCUUCGCGUCGCCGACUCAUCUCAUAAAGCCCGAUCGCGGCGAACGGCCCGAUCAAUGCAAAGCCGGCCGUGAGCGGGAAGAGCAGGUGUAUCAGGUCAUUGCCAAAUGUCAUGCGAGCGAGAAGAACGCCCACGAUCGGAUAAAUCAGACUCAAAAAUACAACGUGGCUCGGCAUCGCCACGAAAUCCUCGAUACCUUUGGCGAGCACGUUUUUGAGAUCGGCCGGUCCGAUCCUACGGACGAUCAGAGGUG